GACGAACGCUGGCGGCGCGCCUUACACAUGCAAGUCGAACGAUCGAGGGGGAGCGUGCUUCCUCGAGCGAGUAGCGAACGGGUGAUUAACGCGUGCGUGACCGGUCGCGGGGAGGGGGGAAACAGUUGCAAACGUCAGCUAGUACCGCAUAUGCGGACGGAAGCACAGGGCACAGAGGGAAUACGAGCAAGCUGCGGUGAGAUGCCCUUGCGUCCGAUUGGGGAGUUGGUGAGGUAAUAGCCCACCAAGGGGACGAUAGGUAGCCGGAGAGAGAGGUUGAACGGCGACAUUGGGAGUGAGACGCGGCGCGGAAUUCUACGGGAGGCGGGAGUGCGGGAUAUAGCAAAAUGGGGGGAAGGAUGAUGGCGCGCCGGCGCGUAGAGGAAGAAGGUCGUCGCAUUGUAAACUCCUGUUGUAGGGGAAGAUAAUGACGGUACCCAAAAAGUAAGCGCCGGCUAACUACGUG
This 466-nucleotide ribosomal RNA is filed under the name uncultured bacterium. Its description in RNAcentral is "partial 16S ribosomal RNA". It matches the Rfam family "Bacterial small subunit ribosomal RNA", at positions 28 to 507 of the family's 1533-position model. The record is from RNAcentral.